GUGCCAGCCGCCGCGGUAAUACCGGCAGCACGAGUGAUGGCCGAUCUUAUUGGGCCUAAAGCGUCCGUAGCUGGCCAGACAAGUCCGUUGGGAAAUCGGCGUGCCUAACGCGUCGGCGUCCAGCGGAAACUGUUUGGCUUGGGACUGGAAGACCCGAGGGGUACGUCCGGGGUAGGAGUGAAAUCCUGUAAUCUUGGACGGACCGCCGGUGGCGAAAGCGCCUCGGGAAGACGGAUCCGACAGUGAGGGACGAAAGCUAGGGUCUCGAACCGGAUUAGAAACCCCAGUAGUCC
This 293-nucleotide ribosomal RNA is filed under the name uncultured bacterium. Its description in RNAcentral is "partial 16S ribosomal RNA". It matches the Rfam family "Archaeal small subunit ribosomal RNA", at positions 455 to 747 of the family's 1478-position model. The record is from RNAcentral.